AUUGAACGCUGGCGGCAUGCUUUACACAUGCAAGUCGAACGGCAGCGCGGGCUUCGGCCUGGCUGCGAGUGGCGAACGGGUGAGUAAUGCAUGGGAACGUGCCCAGUUGCGGGGGCUAGCCCGGCGAAAGCCGGAAUAAUACGGCAUACGACCUGAGGGUGAAAGCGGGGGACCGAAAGGCCUUGCGCCAUUGGAGCGGCCGAUGUCGGAUUAGCGAGUUGGUGGGGUAAAGGCUUACCAAGGCGACGAUCCGUAGCUGGUCUGAGAGGAUGACCAGCCACACUGGGACUGAGACACGGCCCAGACUCCUACGGGAGGCAGCAGUGGGGAAUUUUGGACAAUGGGGGCAACCCUGAUCCAGCCAUGCCGCGUGCGUGAAGAAGGCCUUCGGGUUGUAAACCGCUUUUGUUCGGGAAGAAAUCCUCUAGGCUAAUACCCCGGUGUGAUGACGGUACCGAAAGAAUAAGCACCGGCUAACUUCGUG
Molecule: ribosomal RNA, 484 nt
Filed under: uncultured bacterium
Lineage: Bacteria
Description: partial 16S ribosomal RNA
Rfam family: Bacterial small subunit ribosomal RNA
Source: RNAcentral